RNAcentral lists this long non-coding RNA (1916 nucleotides) under Homo sapiens (human). RNAcentral's name for it is "HSALNT0210910". The record is from RNAcentral. Lineage: Eukaryota; Metazoa; Chordata; Mammalia; Primates; Hominidae.
UGGGCAUGCGUCCUGGCCUCUGUUUGGAAUGCUCUCUUUCUGCCUCAGUUUCCUUCCUGAUGUAUAUAUAUAGACUCAGCCUCUCUGCCCAAGUCUUCUAUGAUGACAGCUCACUAGGCAGGCAGCGUGGAUCUAUGUUCCAGUCUCCUCUUGCAGAUCAGAUACCACCUCUGAGAUCCUUCUCUGCUCCUCACUGACCAAACUCAAGGAACAGAUCUUCCCUGCCCAGGUCUCCAGGACCCCAACCUACCCACUUCUAGGAGAGAAUUCACACAGGGGAAGACCGUGUGAAGACACUGGAAGAAGACAGCCAUCCACAAAGCAAGGACAGGAGCCUUGGAGGAGAACAAUCCUGGGGACUCCUUGAUCUUAGACUUCUAGCCUCCAGGAUUAUUAGAAAAUAAAUUUAUGUUAUUUAAGCUGCCCAGUCUGUGGUACCUUGCUAUGGCAGCCCUAGCAAAAUAAUUCACAGGCUAUUUACACUUGAACAUGAAUUAUUGAUAGUAGGGAAAAAAAAUGAGCCCUGUAACUUUCCUAGUCUUGAGGAAUAGAGACUACAAACAAAUCAAGUCUUCUGUGGGAAUGCUGGGCCAUGGGCUUUGGAAUCACCACCAGUGAUGGAACCCGAAGUAAGCUACUAAACCUCGACAGGCUCAUUCAUGAAUCACCACCAGUGAUGGAACCCCAGGUGGUCCUGAAAGGAGGAGGUGCUUUGCUUCUCUUUUUCGCAGAUGUCAAUUAUGGAUCAACUUCUGAGUCACAUAGAAGAGCACCAUCAAUUGGCCAUUUCUCACCUGAUCACUGAGGAUAUAAAGUGCUUUUCCAGACUCCAGGACUCGGUUCAUUGCUAGUAUCAGGACGCCUCUCAUGUAUGGGAAGCCAGAAACAUCCCAGGAGCCUCACUGACUGCUUGGGCACAGCCCUCUGAGCAGACCUAUGAAGAAACAGAAGGAUUUGUGCCUUUUAGCGAGGAGGAUGCAGCACAUGCAGAGGCUUCAUAAAUCUGAUGAGUGCUGAAAAGAACCAUGCCCUCCAGCAAGGGGGAGCCAGGAAACAUUCUACAGGAAAGUCUGGAGUUUUGACACCUGUUGAGAGACACACCACCCACUAAAGAAAAAAAGGGUGCAGAGCUCUUCUACCCUUAGAUAAUAUGUGUUGGGAAGAAUUAACCAGUUCUGCAGUUUGGUCAAGGUUCAGCAGGGACAGUUUGUCUCUGUUCCACAUAGUAUCAGCUGAGGCAGCUCAACUGAGGAUGGAGGAUGCACUUUCAAGAUUGUUUCCUUGCAAGACUGGCAAGCUUGUAUUGUCAGCUGGACCUCAACUAGGACUGUUGGCCAGGGACCUCUCUCCUCCUCCACAUAGAUCCAUCUAUGUGGCUGUUUGGGUUUUCUGACAAGAUGGCCACAAGUUCCCAAGAGCAAAUAUUCCAAGAAAACAAGCCUCAAUAUGAAAUCACUUAUCAGGCCUCUCCUUGCAUCAUACUUGCCAAAUGUCCCAUUGGCCAAAGAUGGCUCCAUGAUCAAGCCCAGAGUCCAUGUGGGAGGGGACUACACAAGGGUAAGAACUCCAACAGCUGUGGUUCAUUGGGGGUCACCAAACUAAGAGUUUACCACAGAGUGUGGUAACUUUCGUCUCUCCCCAUUAGUAGAGAAAAAUUGAAAAUUGGUAUUAUUUGCCCACUCCCCCAAUUUUUUAAGUCAGAAACUUAAUACCAAUGUUUCCUAAUUUUUAAGUUGGCUUAAGAAAAUUGGAGCCAGGUGUGGUGGCUCACGCCUGUAAUCCCAGCACUUUGGGAGGACGAGGCAGGCGGAUCACGAGGUCAGGAGAUCGAGACCACCCUGGCUAACACAGUGAGACCCCGUCUCUACUAAAAAUACAAAAAAAAUUAGCCGGGCGUGGUGGCGGGCGCCUGUAGU